Non-coding RNA from Paramuricea clavata, 2866 nucleotides. Lineage: Eukaryota; Metazoa; Cnidaria; Anthozoa; Malacalcyonacea; Plexauridae. The record is from the annotation of a GenBank genome assembly.
AAAAAACACACAAAUAUAUGAGACAAGUAUGGAAUAAGGUAAGAAUUUAAAGUACUGUCAAUGUCUGUUUUUGACAGGCAAAGACAGAUAGAGUUAAACAUAGCAAAAAGGUUCGUUAAUGCCAAGUUUGGAAUGAGGCGCAUUUCAUGUCUUUCGCGGCUAUCAUUGCUUCCAGAAAUGGAACAGAUAUGAAAAUUCGAGCCAUCUAUCCCAUUUCUGGAAGCAAUGAUAGCAGCAAGACUGUCUUUGCCUGUCAAAAGCAGAUAUUGACAGUACUUUAAAUUCUUACCUUAUACCAUACUUGUUUCACAUAUUUUUUUAGUUUUCUGUAUAUUUGUAUUAAUAUAUUUAGUAUCGCUCGAAACAUCGACGUUCUCCUUGUAUUUUUCAGGGGCCGGUUGUUCAAAGCUGGGUUAGCCUAACCCUGGGUUAGCCUAAUAUUCAAAGAAAGCUUGCCUAUAAGCCCUAGUUUGUCUUGCCCUAGCUUGUCUAUAAAUUUGGAAAUAUUUCUUCACAGAUCUUGUCUGGAUCGAUAGGAGUUAUCUUCUCUGAAGUUUUGAAAUAAACAGACGUGCAGAAGUACAUAAACUAAAACAGCAGGUUAAAUUUUAACCCAGAGUUAGCUCUAACUCACAUUUGAACAACCGACCCCAGGUAGUUGCAUCAUCCGCAGCUUUCUUAUUACUGGCACUACUUACACUGACACAAACCGUUCAAGAUUAUAUAUAGUACAGGUAGAUCAAUACGGAUAAUAAUACCAAUAUAAAAUCUGCUGUGUUGGUGUAAUGUACUCAGGUGAAUAAGAUGUUUCUCAGUUGGAAGAGCAUUGGGCUAGUAUUCCAAAGGUCGUAGGUUCGAAUCCCGCCGUGGCCAGGCAUAUUUUUCAAGCCUGCCCGGUGUGGAUAUACACUCAGAGUAACAUCACACAAACAUCUUAUUCACCUGAGUACAUUACACCAACACAGCAGAUUUCAUAAAUAUUAGAUUACACUGAUAUCGAAGGAACUAGACUCAGUUCCAAAAUAUCGCUUACUCGAACCGUCCUGACCGCGUAGCUCAGUUGGAAGAGCAUUGGGCCAGUAUUCCAAAGGUCGUAGGUUCGAAUCCCGCCGUGGCCAGGCAUAUUUUUCAAGCCUGCCCGGUGUGGAUAUACACUCAGAGUAACAUCACACAAAAAAAAAAUAAAAAAAAAAUACCAAUAUAUCUAAAACUUUGCAUCAGUUUUGAAACAGCUGUAGAUUUAAAGCCCUGAGUAAAUCAGGAAAAGUUGUGGUGGAAUCAAAUGCGAUUUCGAUGUUUCAUUCUAUGUUAUCUGUUUACCCAUCCUUAGUAACAUUGUUGCGGAAAUCACGAGUUUGGGAAAUUUUUGCUUCUGAGAUCUUUUGUUUCCCAAGAUUAAAGUAGCUUUGUCGACAUUUCACUGCAAAAAUAUUAUUAAUUCAAAUAACUCCUCCAAAAAAAUAGUUUAAACAGCUGCAUCCAUGCAUAUUCCAGUUGUUUUUAAGCCCAAGCCAGCUGGUGGUUAGUUCAGUUAGGUUUAAGUGGUAAAGCUUGGCCUUAAUGAAAUAACGCAAAUUUCUUAAAAAAAAUAAAGUUAGAGAAUAUAUCCACACUCUUUUGUAUCUGGGUGUCUUAAAAAAAUUGGGUUAUUUUUGUUGUUUCCAGAGAACGUAAUGUGUGCGUGUAAAUGUAUUUUAAGGUGCAUCCAUAACAUGCACGAAGUCCAUAGAAGUUAAUUUAGUAUAUUACAAAUAAACUAGAAUUGGAAUUAUAUUUCAAUACCGAUGACAACAACACUUGCAGACUAUUAUAGUUCCACUAAUAGAUAUUAAAUCAAAUCUGUAAUAUGAAGACAACUUAAUUUCAUAUUAAAAACGAUAUUUGAAACAAGUUUAACGAAUUUUCAAACCUUGCAUCCUUAAUUAUUUUGUUAUCAUACAAGUACAGUACUAAUGCACAAUUUUCCCCAUGUAUAUUAUUAGGAUUAAGGAUUUAAUCAGUUAAUUGGCCCAGCUGAGAUUUCAUACAUGGCGAAAAUCCCCCAAAUAACUUUGAACAAUGCUGACAUUUUAAACAUCAGUGUAUAUAAAGCCGGUUACAAACGGCCCCCAAAUUUUCUCUGACAAGUUUUCAUAUGGUGAGUUGUGUUUGCUAAUUGCACGGCCUUAUGCACAGUACGCACCACAAUUUUUCUACGACUUUCCUCUGCAUGGUUUCCUGGCGGCCACGAUCGACCACCUGCGAUGAUCCGAGUGCUCAAAUUAGUUUGUCAAAUUUCUAUGUUGACCCAUACAGACGUAAAAUUUGUACUUUGUCAUCUUUUACUAUGACAAGUACACUUGUUCAAUUGAACAAGUACACUGGUCAUAGGAAAACUUGGCAAAGUUGCCUAUAUAGGCUAUACAGAAGAUGACAUAAAAACUUGCCAUAUAACUUAUCAUAUAGAACAUUUGCUCGUCUGCAGCUGGCUUAAGGACCGUUUUACCUAGAGGAGAGCUAUGUUGAUUUCUAAAUUUUGUAAGCCCCCUCUCCCCUUAUGUGAUAUCGGGUCAUUCCAGAAAACAUCCAUACCUCCCUCAAGGAGGAAAUUGGAAGUUAACUCUCCUACCCCGUUCGGAUGUCCUAAUAUACUUAGUAUUAUCACUCCCCCGUCCGGACGAUAUAAAUUUCGUCCAUGGGGAUUGUGGAUCUUAUCUGGAACGACCCAUUGGACAAACAAGGAUGAAUUGUUAUGACCCCCCCCCCACCCCCCGCUCUCAAACUUUACUGACCCUUUAAUUACACAGUUAAUUUCUUUCUGAAUCCUUACAUUAGAUUUUGACGUGCAUUGUAUUGCAUUACGUUCAGAAUACUUCAACACUUUGUA